CGGCUAUAUCACAUCGAAACCCGUUUCCCGUACGACUACCGAAGUUAAGCCACGUUGAACCUGGUUAGUACUUAGAUGGGUAACCUCUUGGAAUUACCACUUGUCGUAAG
This is a non-coding RNA of Acanthosepion pharaonis, 110 nucleotides long. The record is from the annotation of a GenBank genome assembly. NCBI's taxonomy places the organism in Eukaryota, Metazoa, Mollusca, Cephalopoda, Sepiida, Sepiidae.